RNAcentral lists this ribosomal RNA (253 nucleotides) under uncultured bacterium. RNAcentral describes it as "partial 16S ribosomal RNA". It matches the Rfam family "Bacterial small subunit ribosomal RNA", at positions 524 to 776 of the family's 1533-position model. The record is from RNAcentral.
UACGUAGGGGGCUAGCGUUGUCCGGAAUCAUUGGGCGUAAAGCGCGCGUAGGCGGCCCGGUAAGUCCGCUGUAAAAGUCAAAGGCUCAACCUUUGAAUGUCAGUGGAUACUGCCGGGCUAGAGUCCGGAAGAGGCGAGUGGAACUCCUGGUGUAGCGGUGGAAUGCGCAGAUAUCAGGAGGAACACCGGUGGCGAAGGCGGAUCUCUGGGCCUGUCCUGACGCUCAGGCGCGAAAGCGUGGGGAGCAAACAGG